CAGGUGGUGGCCUCUGGAAAUAAAGACUAGCGGUCUGAUAUAAUCUUUACAUUGUUAUUCUGAUAUUGGGUGAACACUGUUUACAUGCUGAGGAUAGCAGCUUCCUUUAGCAUUUGACAAACGAUACCAUCAUGCGCGAGUACAAGCUCGUGGUUCUUGGUUCUGGAGGUGUUGGGAAGUCCGCACUGACGGUGCAGUUUGG
Molecule: long non-coding RNA, 202 nt
Organism: Rana temporaria (common frog)
Lineage: Eukaryota; Metazoa; Chordata; Amphibia; Anura; Ranidae
Exons: 3
Source: RefSeq, a predicted model, not a curated record